Molecule: transfer RNA, 93 nt
Filed under: Pleuronectes platessa (European plaice)
Lineage: Eukaryota; Metazoa; Chordata; Actinopteri; Pleuronectiformes; Pleuronectidae
Also listed under: 1 other name
Rfam family: tRNA
About the family: Transfer RNA (tRNA) molecules are approximately 80 nucleotides in length. Their secondary structure includes four short double-helical elements and three loops (D, anti-codon, and T loops).
Source: Rfam by way of RNAcentral
GGCUCUGUGGCGCAAUGGACAGCGCAUUGGACUUCUAGCAUCAGCACUGAGGAAGUGAUUCAAAGGUUGUGGGUUCGAGUCCCACCAGAGUCG